RNAcentral lists this long non-coding RNA (427 nucleotides) under Mytilus galloprovincialis (Mediterranean mussel). The record is from RNAcentral. Lineage: Eukaryota; Metazoa; Mollusca; Bivalvia; Mytilida; Mytilidae.
UGGGUAUAUAACUGAAGACCAAUCCUGCCCCGUAAAGUUUUAAACAGGAAAACAUCUAAAGGAAUAAGGUGAUAAAAAUAUUACCUUAAAUUGAGAUAAAGAUGACUGUUAUAGAAAAUCUGUUUUGCAGAUAACGGAGAUAAUGAGAGUUCUUACCAAGUUUGUUAAUGCAUGAGCAACACAACCAUUCCAAAUGUUGAGCAGUAUUUGCAUACAGGUCCAGAGCCCCUCCCCAGAUAUUGGUUAAGUUCAUCUUGAUCAUUCUUUAGUUUUAUAAGUUUGCCUGGGUAAAAAGGCAGCACCUUAAUUCUUAGAUUAGAAAUUGAAAAUAAAAGUGUAGCAUUUAAAUAAUGGCCAGAAUGAAACACUUCCUUCUUAGUGGCUUUCAAUACACAAUAAUUCAACAUCAACAUAUUUAUUAUGAAUG